CUGCUACACCUGCCCUGUGCUGAGUUUGAUCCUGUCCACUGAGACCUUCUCAUGUGCAAACCAUGGAAACUUGAACUCCGGGCAAAUGCCACGACAUUACAUUCAGAGUCUUGGUGGUAAAGUGUUUAAAAUGUGUCUUCGCAUUUUCUGCAUAACUGGAUCCUAGCUCAUUAAGGAUCUCCUGUG
Molecule: long non-coding RNA, 186 nt
Filed under: Taeniopygia guttata (zebra finch)
Lineage: Eukaryota; Metazoa; Chordata; Aves; Passeriformes; Estrildidae
Description: lncRNA (ENSTGUG00000027361.1)
Source: RNAcentral